Molecule: ribosomal RNA, 491 nt
Filed under: uncultured bacterium
Lineage: Bacteria
Description: partial 16S ribosomal RNA
Rfam family: Bacterial small subunit ribosomal RNA
Source: RNAcentral
AGUGAACGCUGGCGGUAGGCCUAACACAUGCAAGUCGAACGGCAGCACAGUAAGAGCUUGCUCUUACGGGUGGCGAGUGGCGGACGGGUGAGGAAUACAUCGGAAUCUACUUUUUCGUGGGGGAUAACGUAGGGAAACUUACGCUAAUACCGCAUACGACCUACGGGUGAAAGCAGGUGAUCUUCUGACCUUGCGCGAUUGAAUGAGCCGAUGUCGGAUUAGCUAGUUGGCGGGGUAAAGGCCCACCAAGGCGACGAUCCGUAGCUGGUCUGAGAGGAUGAUCAGCCACACUGGAACUGAGACACGGUCCAGACGCCUACGGGAGGCAGCAGUGGGGAAUAUUGGACAAUGGGCGCAAGCCUGAUCCAGCCAUACCGCGUAGGUGAAGAAGGCCUUCGGGUUGUAAAGCCCUUUUGUUGGGAAAGAAAAGCAGCAGGUUAAGACCCCGCUGUUCUGACGGUACCCAAAGAAUAAGCACCGGCUAACUUCGU